GGCACUAUAGCCAAGUGGUUACGGCGGUUGAUUCGAAAUCACCUCCUCUUUGAGGGCGCAGGUUCGAAUCCUGCUGGUGUCG
Non-coding RNA from Phanerochaete sordida, 82 nucleotides. Lineage: Eukaryota; Fungi; Basidiomycota; Agaricomycetes; Polyporales; Phanerochaetaceae. The record is from the annotation of a GenBank genome assembly.